GGUUGUGGCUCAGUGGUAGAGUACUUGCCUAGCAUGUGUGAGGCACUGGGUUCAAUUCUCAGCACCA
RNAcentral lists this transfer RNA (67 nucleotides) under Marmota monax (woodchuck). Its description in RNAcentral is "tRNA.Ala". It matches the Rfam family "tRNA". From Rfam's summary of the family: Transfer RNA (tRNA) molecules are approximately 80 nucleotides in length. Their secondary structure includes four short double-helical elements and three loops (D, anti-codon, and T loops). The record is from RNAcentral. Lineage: Eukaryota; Metazoa; Chordata; Mammalia; Rodentia; Sciuridae. RNAcentral also lists the same sequence under 2 other names.